RNAcentral lists this ribosomal RNA (292 nucleotides) under uncultured bacterium. Its description in RNAcentral is "partial 16S ribosomal RNA". It matches the Rfam family "Bacterial small subunit ribosomal RNA", at positions 505 to 796 of the family's 1533-position model. The record is from RNAcentral.
GUGCCAGCAGCCGCGGUAAUACGGAGGGUGCGAGCGUUGUCCGGAAUCACUGGGCGUAAAGGGCGCGUAGGCGGCAGGGAAAGUCGGCGGUGAAAGCCCGGAGCUCAACUCCGGGUCGGCCGUUGAUACUUCUUUGCUCGAGCACUGUAGAGGCAGAUGGAAUUCCGGGUGUAGCGGUGGAAUGCGUAGAGAUCCGGAAGAACACCGGUGGCGAAGGCGGUCUGCUGGGCAGUUGCUGACGCUGAUGCGCGACAGCGUGGGGAGCAAACAGGAUUAGAAACCCCCGUAGUCC